This is a non-coding RNA of Bos taurus (domestic cattle), 72 nucleotides long. The record is from Rfam. NCBI's taxonomy places the organism in Eukaryota, Metazoa, Chordata, Mammalia, Artiodactyla, Bovidae.
CCCCAAGUGGCUCAGAUGGUAAGGAAUCUGCCUGCAAUGUGGGAGAUGCAGGUUCAAUCCCUGUGUUGGGGA